This 468-nucleotide ribosomal RNA is filed under the name uncultured bacterium. Its description in RNAcentral is "partial 16S ribosomal RNA". It matches the Rfam family "Bacterial small subunit ribosomal RNA", at positions 28 to 507 of the family's 1533-position model. The record is from RNAcentral.
GAUGAACGCUGGCGGCGUGCUUAACACAUGCAAGUCGAACGGAAAGGCCCAAGCUUGCUUGGGUCCUCGAGUGGCGAACGGGUGAGUAACACGUGGGUGAUCUGCCCUGCACUUCGGGAUAAGCCUGGGAAACUGGGUCUAAUACCGGAUAGGACGAUGGUUUGGAUGCCAUUGUGGAAAGGUUUUUCGGUGUGGGAUGAGCUCGCGGCCUAUCAGCUUGUUGGUGGGGUAUUGGCCUACCAAGGCGUCGCCGGGUAGCCGGCCUGAGAGGGUGUACGGCCGCAUUAGGACAGAGAUGCGGCCCAGACUCCUACGGGAGGGAGCAGUGGGGAAUAUUGCACAAUGGGCGCAAGCCUGAUGCAGCGACGCCGCGGGGGGGAUGACGGCCUUCGGGUUGUAAACUCCUUUCGCUAGGGACGAAGCGUUUUUGUGACGGUACCUGGAGAAGAAGCACCGGCUAACUACGUG